ACUCCGUAGGUGAACCUGCGGAGGGAUCAUUACAGAGCUCAUGCCCUACCGGGUAGAUCUCCCACCCUAUGUUAUUAUUACUUUGUUGCUUUGGCGGGCCGUUAGGCUCCGGCCCGACUACUGGCCCCGGCUGGUAAGCGCCCGCCAGAGGACCCAAAACCCUGAAUAUUAGUGUCGUCUGAGUACUAUAUAAUAGUUAAAACUUUCAACAACGGAUCUCUUGGUUCUG
This 229-nucleotide unclassified non-coding RNA is filed under the name plant metagenome. Its description in RNAcentral is "partial contains small subunit ribosomal RNA, internal transcribed spacer 1, and 5.8S ribosomal RNA". The record is from RNAcentral.